This 2219-nucleotide ribosomal RNA is filed under the name Triticum aestivum (bread wheat). RNAcentral describes it as "partial small subunit ribosomal RNA". The record is from RNAcentral. Lineage: Eukaryota; Viridiplantae; Streptophyta; Magnoliopsida; Poales; Poaceae.
CGCCACGUCAGCGCCUUGAAGAAGACGCCGGGCCACAGGACAGGGGGAACAGACCGCCGGCGCCGUCACGACUCGCGACUCCCCCCGCCACCUCCUCCGCCGCGGGAAAUCACGCGCAGAGCGUCCCCCGCCCCGCCGCGACGCCCAAAUCGCCUCGAUCCGCCGCCCGGGUGCUUCGCUAGAUAGUAACCAUCAAGUGAGGAUUCUCAGAAUUUGAUCUGAUUCGUACUGGAAUUUGGUUUGUCAGUCGGGUUCUGUAGGCAUUUGCCAUUGCGACGUGUGCCUUGUGCAUCUGGAGGUGCCCACUGAUGCAGGGAAGGUGAUGUUGGUUGAUCUUGAGCGCUUGUGAUAGUGCACAGGUUUCGAACAAUUGUUGUCUUCCACCAUGAGGGUCAAGCUUGAGCUCCUCAUGCCCCUGAUGGCGCAAUACAAAACACCCGCAUGGGCCACAUUGGUCGCCGGGUUCUUUGUGCUGCUUGCCCUUUCCCUCUCCAUGUACCUGAUAUUUGAGCAUCUAUCGGCAUACAACAACCCAGAGGAACAGAAAUUUGUUCUGGGUGUUAUUUUGAUGGUCCCUUGCUAUGCAAUUGAGUCGUAUGUUUCUUUGGUAGAUCCAAAUAUCACUGUUUACUGUGGCAUCUUGCGCGAGGGUUACGAAGCAUUAGCUAUGUACUGCUUUGGAAGAUAUAUCACUGCAUGUUUAGGUGGGGAAGAAAAAACGAUAGCCUUUUUGAAGAGGGAAGGCGGCUCAGAUUCUAGGCAACCCCUUUUGCAUCAUGCUUCCGAGAAAGGAAUUAUACACCAUCAUUUUCCCGUGAAUUAUAUUUUGAAACCCUGGCGAAUGGGGACGCGAUUUUACCAGAUUAUCAAAUUUGGAAUCUUCCAAUAUGUGAUUAUAAAGACACUCACAGCUAGCUUAUCUCUUUUUCUAGAAGCUUUUGGUGUAUAUUGUGAAGGUGAAUUCAAUUUACGAUGUGGAUACCCUUAUUUUGCUGCAAUCCUGAAUUUCAGUCAAUUUUGGGCCCUAUACUGUUUAGUAGAAUGGUACACAGCUACCAAGGACGAAUUGGCACAUAUAAAACCUCUGGCUAAGUUUCUUUCGUUCAAGUCAAUAGUAUUCUUGACUUGGUGGCAAGGGGUGGUGAUUGCAAUAAUGUAUUCUUUGGGCCUGCUUAGAAGUCCUUUAGCCCAGAGCUUGCAGUUAAAAUCAAGUAUUCAAGAUUUUAUUAUCUGCAUAGAGAUGGGCAUUGCGUCAGCUGUUCACCUCUAUGUGUUCCCUGCUAAACCCUAUGAGCUCUUAGUUAACCAGUCACCUGGAAACAUUUCAGUCCUUGGAGAUUACGCAUCCUCUGACCCUAUAGAUCCUGAAGAAGUCAAGGAGAGUAACCGGCCGAGCAAAAUGAAGCUUCCACAGUUCGAACCGGAUGAGAGAAGUGCAACAAACAUAAAAGAGAGUGUUCGCGACUUUGUGGUUGGCAGUGGGGAAUAUGUGAUCCAGGAUUUUAAGUUUACUGUUAACCAAGCAGUGCGGCCGGUGGAGAAGCGGUUUGAUAAACUGCUGAAAAAGAAAGACAAGUAUAAGAACACCCAGGAUGACAACUGGGUGAGUGCAGCAUCGCCAGAGAGACCGGUUCGUGGCAUCGAUGAUCCGCUAUUAAGCGGGAGCACAAGUGACAGCGGGGUCUUGAAGGGCAAAAAGCAACGUAGAGUUGUCAGCACAGUUGCUACCGCGGAUAGUUGGGGAGGUGGUGAUAAGACGCCUGAUGGCUACGAGAUAAGGGGCCGCCGCUGGGCAGUGAAGAAUUGACGAUUUAACCAUGUGAAGGAUUGAUAUAUUUCAAACCAUAACACGUGAAACAAGGAAGCGGCUGGCUGUCACAGAAAUUACUGGUAACCUUCUGCAACGCUGGCCAAUUUUGUUGCCUAUGCAAGUUCACGCUGUGCUGUGUUGUAGGUAGCUGCAGCUCCUGAGUCCUGAUACGGUAGUCUCUGUGCAUAGCCUAUUAUUUCUUCUUUCCAAAAGGACUGGUAGAGGGAAUUGAUUGUUACAACUUCAAUUGGUGCUGCUCAGAAUUGAGAAGAAUCUUGUUCCGUACAAACGGGAGCCCCUCUACAACUGCCCCUUUGUUUACCGAUGUACCUAAUCUUGUGAUAUUAUUGUUCGGACAUCAUACUUCGUUACUGUAAAGAGCUGGUUGAAAUAACAAUAAAGGAAAUGU